This 73-nucleotide transfer RNA is filed under the name Ailuropoda melanoleuca (giant panda). It matches the Rfam family "tRNA". From Rfam's summary of the family: Transfer RNA (tRNA) molecules are approximately 80 nucleotides in length. Their secondary structure includes four short double-helical elements and three loops (D, anti-codon, and T loops). Further hydrogen bonds mediate the characteristic L-shaped molecular structure. tRNAs have two regions of fundamental functional importance: the anti-codon, which is responsible for specific mRNA codon recognition, and the 3' end, to which the tRNAs corresponding amino acid is attached (by aminoacyl-tRNA synthetases). tRNAs cope with the degeneracy of the genetic code in two manners: having more than one tRNA (with a specific anti-codon) for a particular amino acid; and 'wobble' base-pairing, i.e. permitting non-standard base-pairing at the 3rd anti-codon position. Lineage: Eukaryota; Metazoa; Chordata; Mammalia; Carnivora; Ursidae. The record is from Rfam by way of RNAcentral.
GCUUGGCUGGCUCAGUCGGUAGAGCAUAUGACUUUUGAUCUCAGGGUCAUGAGUUCAAGUCCGAUGUUGGGUG